Molecule: long non-coding RNA, 550 nt
Organism: Magnolia sinica
Lineage: Eukaryota; Viridiplantae; Streptophyta; Magnoliopsida; Magnoliales; Magnoliaceae
Exons: 3
Source: RefSeq, a predicted model, not a curated record
UACAAAUCCCUCUUUCGAAUGAUGCCCUCUGCCUCUCCCUCUGCCUGCUUUCUCAUUUUCUUCUUCCGUCGGUGGGUGAUCUCAGAAUCUUUGAAGGAUUUCAGGCAUAUCUUUCCUGCAGUGGAUUUGGCAAUGUAGGAGGAUGAAAUGAAUUCGAGACAAAGAGUAAUAGGGUAAAGGUGCUGAGCUUCCACAGCAAGCGGCCAUGGAUCCUAGUGAGCCUCCACAGUGGUGUAAUCCAGCUCUGGGAUUACAAGAUGGGGACCCUCAUAGACAGAUUUGACGAGCACGAUGGUCCUGUACAUGGGGUCCACUUCCACAAAUCUUAGCCACUCUUCGUCUCCGGAGGAUUGGGGCGGAUGCUCGAAAUAUUAAAUUGUGAAACUUGUCUAGCAGGCAUUCAUUACAAUUUAGUGUGUUCAUUUUAAAAUCCUUUCCGUUAAUAUCACAAUUUGGGCUAUACACCUAGAAGAGGAGCUUGAAGCAGAUGAAAGAAAGCUUGUGGAAAAGCUUGAGUAUCAAAUUCGAAUAGAAAAUGAGGCUAAACUGA